GCGAGAGCCCUGAACCAGCCAUGCCGCGGUGCAGGAAGACGGCCCUUCUGGGUUGUAAACUGCUUUUAUAUGGGAAGAAAAAGCCCUUGCCCAGGGAAAUUGCCCCCUACCAUACUGAAUAAGCACCGGCCUAACUCCGUGCCAGCAGCCGCUGGCAAUACGGAGGGUGCAAGCGUUGUCCGGAUUUAUUGGGUUUAAGGGUGCGUAGGCGGGUCUUUAGUCAGUGGUGAAAGCCUGCAGCUAACUGUGAACUGCCAUUGAUACGUGGAGACCUUGAGUAUACUAGAGGUAGGCGGAAUUUAUGGUGUAGCGGUGAAAUGCAUAGAUACCAUAAAGAACACCGAUAGCGUAAGCAGCAUUACUGGAGUAUAACUGACGCUGAUGCACGAAAGCAUGGGUAGCGAACAGGAUUAGAUACCCUGGAUAGUCCAUGCCGUAUACGAUGAUUACUCGAUGUUGGCGAUACAAUGUCAGCGUC
RNAcentral lists this ribosomal RNA (478 nucleotides) under uncultured bacterium. RNAcentral's name for it is "bacterial SSU rRNA". It matches the Rfam family "Bacterial small subunit ribosomal RNA", at positions 375 to 847 of the family's 1533-position model. The record is from RNAcentral.